This 329-nucleotide unclassified non-coding RNA is filed under the name soil metagenome. RNAcentral's name for it is "partial contains 5.8S ribosomal RNA, internal transcribed spacer 2, and large subunit ribosomal RNA". The stretch from base 1 to 120 matches the Rfam family "5.8S ribosomal RNA", at positions 35 to 154 of the family's 154-position model. The record is from RNAcentral.
GAUGAAGAACGUAGCGAAAUGCGAUAAGUAAUGUGAAUUGCAGAAUUCAGUGAAUCAUCGAAUCUCUGAACGCACAUUGCGCCCUCUGGUAUUCCGGGGGGCAUGCCUGUUCGAGCGUCAUUAUAACCACUCAAGCUCUCGCUUGGUAUUGGGGUUCGCGGUUCCGCGGCCCCUAAAAUCAGUGGCGGUGCCUGUCGGCUCUACGCGUAGUAAUACUCCUCGCGAUUGAGUCCGGUAGGUCUACUUGCCAGCAACCCCCAAUUUUUACAGGUUGACCUCGGAUCAGGUAGGGAUACCCGCUGAACUUAAGCAUAUCAAUAAGCGGAGGA